This 433-nucleotide ribosomal RNA is filed under the name uncultured bacterium. RNAcentral describes it as "partial 16S ribosomal RNA". It matches the Rfam family "Bacterial small subunit ribosomal RNA", at positions 29 to 507 of the family's 1533-position model. The record is from RNAcentral.
AACGAACGCUGGCGGCAUGCCUAACACAUGCAAGUCGAACGAGACCUUCGGGUCUAGUGGCGCACGGGUGCGUAACGCGUGGGAACCUGCCUUUAGGUUCGGAAUAACUCAGAGAAAUUUGAGCUAGUACCGGAUGAUGUCUUCGGACCAAAGAUUUAUCGCCUUUAGAUGGGCCCGCGUUGGAUUAGCUAGUUGGUGGGGUAAAGGCCUACCAAGGCGACGAUCCAUAGCUGGUCUGAGAGGAUGAUCAGCCACACUGGGACUGAGACACGGCCCAGACUCCUACGGGAGGCAGCAGUGGGGAAUAUUGGACGAUGGGCGAAAGCCUGAUCCAGCAAUGCCGCGUGAGUGAUGAAGGCCUUAGGGUUGUAAAGCUCUUUUACCCGAGAUGAUAAUGACAGUAUCGGGAGAAUAAGCUCCGGCUAACUCCGUG